AGCAGCCGCGGUAACACCAGCGCCACGAGUGGCAAUCGUUUUUAUUGGGUCUAAAGCGUCCGUAGCCGGUCUGACUAAUCUUUUGUGAAAUCGAUAAACUUAACUUAUCGGCGUGCAAGAGACACUAUCAGACUAGGGACCGGGAGGAGCCAGAGGUAUUCCAGGGUGAGCGGUAAAAUGCUGUAAUCCUUGGAGGACCACCUGUGGCGAAGGCGUCUGGCCAGAACGGAUCCGACGGUGAGGGACGAAAGCUAGGGGAGCAAAACGGAUUAGAUACCCGAGUAGUCCUAGCUGUAAACACUGCGAGCUAGGUGUUGCACAUUCUUCGUGGAUGUGCAGUAUCGAAGCGAAGGCGUUAAGCUCGCCACCUGGGAAGUACGGUCGCAAGGCUGAAACUUAAAGGAAUUGGCGGGGGAGCACCACAAGGGGUGCGGCGUGCGGUUUAAUCUAAUUCAACACAGAGAAUCUCACCAGCAGCGACGGCAGGAUGAAGGUCAGGCUGAAGACCUUACCUGACAAGCCGAGAGGUGGUGCAUGGCCGCCGUCAGCUCGUGCUGUAAAGUGUCCUCUUAAGUGAGGUAACGAGCGAGACCUGCGUCCACAAUUGCUAACAGGCCCGUUUGGGUGACUGAGCACAAUGUGGAGACUGCCUUGGAAACGAGGAGGAAGGUGCAGGCUACGGUAGGUCUGUAUGCCCCGAAUCUGCUGGGCUACACGCGCGCAACAAUGGUAGGGACAAUGGGCUGCAACUCCGAAAGGAGGAGCUAAACCUCUAAACCCUAUCUUAGUCCAAGUCGAGGGUUGUAACUCACCCUCGUGACGUCGGAAUCCCUAGUAAUCGGGUGUCAUCAACGCCCGGUGAAUAUGUCCCUGCUCCU
Molecule: ribosomal RNA, 878 nt
Filed under: uncultured euryarchaeote
Lineage: Archaea; Methanobacteriati; Methanobacteriota
Description: bacterial SSU rRNA
Rfam family: Archaeal small subunit ribosomal RNA
Source: RNAcentral